RNAcentral lists this long non-coding RNA (610 nucleotides) under Capsella rubella. Its description in RNAcentral is "long non-coding RNA (CRUB_LNC004748)". The record is from RNAcentral. Lineage: Eukaryota; Viridiplantae; Streptophyta; Magnoliopsida; Brassicales; Brassicaceae.
UUCCCAUAUGAAAAAAGAAUUUCACUCAGCAUCAGCUUUUGCAGUAUAAGAUAGCCAUGUUAUCGGAUGGUCAAAAGCUGUAAUAAAAAAGCUCAUAAAAGAGCAACCAAAUUUAUAGCAUAAGUAGCAUUGCCAGAAUAAGAGAACAACAUCCCAAAACCAAAUUAAAAUAUUUGAAAACUCAAAAAUACUAGUAUCCAAGUGGUUUUUAUUUUGCAGGAAUCAAAAACCUACUCCUCCUACCUUCACCGGUUCCAUCUGAUCACUCCGCAUGUUUGCCUCUGGGAGUAAAGCUCUCUUCCAGGGCCGCUUCUUGGGACUCUAAGGACAGAAGGGUCUCUAUUGCUAGGGUCAUAAAGGUCUCCACGGUUGUUGCAAGGGACUCCUCUUAUAUUGCUAGGGUCAUAAAGGUCUCCACGGUUGUUGCAAGGGACUCCUCUUAUAUUGCUAGGGUCAUAAAGGUCUCCACGGUUGUUGCAAGGGACUCCUCUUAUAUUGCUUCUUCUUGUGGGAACUUUGCUUCUUGGACAUCUGUCAAGGAUUUCUCUUUGUUGGAGAAUGAGGUGUUUCUUUUGCCUCCAAAACUCAGCAAAUCUACGCUUCCAAUCAA